Molecule: long non-coding RNA, 631 nt
Filed under: Carica papaya (papaya)
Lineage: Eukaryota; Viridiplantae; Streptophyta; Magnoliopsida; Brassicales; Caricaceae
Description: long non-coding RNA (CPAP_LNC003847)
Source: RNAcentral
GGAAUUUAAUUGAAAUUGAUUUUGUGAAAAAGGGGUGAAAAUUUGAAUUCUGGGGGUGUUUUUGAAAAGAAAAUUGAAAAUCAGGGGUCAAAAUGUAAUUUAGAAAAAUAGUGCCAUGUUAGCAGCCCGACCAACCAAGACACGCCGCGUGGCAGGGACGCUGACGCGGGAAGCCACGGGGGGCAGAGACACGUGGGCGACCCAUGUGCGCGCGAUCGGACGGCCCAGAUCCGUUCCCGCGCACACGGAAAGCCCAGAUCAAAAGCGCGCAUGGAUGGCCCAAAUCUCACGCUUGUGGAUGGCCCAAAUCUCACGCUUGUGGACGGCCCAAAUCUCACACUUGUGGACGGCCCAAAUUUGAUCACGCACGGACAACCCAGAUCGCAUCGUGAUGGACGGCCCAGAUUUAUUUCUAAUUUAAUCGCGAUCGGACGGUCCAGAUUAAAUCAUGAUGGCCGGCUCAGAUUAAUAAGAGAAGGUUAUAAAUAAUCGCAUCCAUACCCAACCCCAAACCCUAGCCACCAGAACCCUCGCCAGAGAAGACGACCCAGCCACCGGAGGAACCGGCCGCCACCACCCGCCGCCGCACCAAAGGAUUUUCCAGCCGCCAAACGAGGUAAAAUUUCUCCCC